GACGAACGCUGGCGGCGUGCUUAACACAUGCAAGUCGAACGGUGAAGCGCCUUCCUUUUUGGUUGGUGUGGAUGAGUGGCGAACGGGUGAGUAACACGUGAGUAACCUUCCCCCUUCUUCUGGAUAACCGCAUGAAAGUGUGGCUAAUACGUGAUAUUCUGGGUCUGUCGCAUGGUUGGUCUGGGAAAUAUAUUGUUUCGGUGGUGGAUGGGCUCCCGGCCUAUAAGCUUGUUGGUGGGGUGAUGGCCUACCAAGGCGGUGACGGGUAGCCGGCCUGAGAGGGUGGACGGUCACACUGGGACUGAGACACGGCCGAGACUCAGACGGGAGGCAGCAGCGGGGAAUAUUGAACAAUGGGCGAAAGUCUGAUGCAGCGACGAGGCGGGAGGGAUGGAGGCCUUCGGGUUGUGAACCUCUUUCGCCAGUGAAGCAGGCCUGCCUGGUUUGUAGGUGGGUUGACGGUAGCUGGAUAAGAAGCGCCGGCUAACUACGUG
This 494-nucleotide ribosomal RNA is filed under the name uncultured bacterium. Its description in RNAcentral is "partial 16S ribosomal RNA". It matches the Rfam family "Bacterial small subunit ribosomal RNA", at positions 28 to 507 of the family's 1533-position model. The record is from RNAcentral.